ACGGAAGGCAGCAGUGAGGAAUAUUGGUCAAUGGACGCAAGUCUGAACCAGCCAUGCCGCGUGCAGGAAUAAGGCCCUAUGGGUCGUAAACUGCUUUUGUGGUGGAGCAAUAAGUCGUACGUGUACGGCGAUGAGAGUACAUCACGAAUAAGCAUCGGCUAACUCCGUGCCAGCAGCCGCGGUAAUACGGAGGAUGCAAGCGUUAUCCGGAUUUAUUGGGUUUAAAGGGUGCGUAGGCUGUGGUCCAAGUCAGGGGUGAAAGCCCGGAGCUCAACUCCGGAACUGCCUUUGAUACUGGAUUGCUGGAAUACGGAUGCCGCGGGAGGAAUGAGUAGUGUAGCGGUGAAAUGCAUAGAUAUUACUCAGAACACCGAUUGCGAAGGCAUCUCACGAAUCCGUCAUUGACGCUGAGGCACGAAAGCGUGGGGAUCAAACAGGAUUAGAUACCCUGGUA
Molecule: ribosomal RNA, 454 nt
Filed under: uncultured Rikenellaceae bacterium
Lineage: Bacteria; Pseudomonadati; Bacteroidota; Bacteroidia; Bacteroidales; Rikenellaceae
Description: partial 16S ribosomal RNA
Rfam family: Bacterial small subunit ribosomal RNA
Source: RNAcentral